RNAcentral lists this ribosomal RNA (825 nucleotides) under Kraussillichirus kraussi. RNAcentral's name for it is "SSU rRNA". It matches the Rfam family "Eukaryotic small subunit ribosomal RNA", at positions 426 to 1232 of the family's 1831-position model. Lineage: Eukaryota; Metazoa; Arthropoda; Malacostraca; Decapoda; Callichiridae. The record is from RNAcentral.
CAGCAGGCACGCAAAUUACCCACUCCCGGCACGGGGAGGUAGUGACGAAAAAUAACGGUGCGAGACUCAUCCGAGGCCUCGCAAUCGGAAUGAGUACACUUUAAAUCCUUUAACGAGGAUCAAUUGGAGGGCAAGUCUGGUGCCAGCAGCCGCGGUAAUUCCAGCUCCAAUAGCGUAUAUUAAAGUUGUUGCGGUUAAAAAGCUCGUAGUUGACCUUCAGUUCCGGACUGACGGUGCACCGCCCGGUGUCUCUCCGUCAUGCUCCGAACAGCAGGGACAUCCCUGCCCUGCCGGCUCGCACGGGGUGCUCUUCAUCGAGUGUCCCGCGUGGCCGGCGAGUUUACUUUGAAAAAAUUAGAGUGCUCAAAGCAGGCUACUUGAAUGGCCUGAAUGGUGAUGCAUGGAAUAAUGGAAUAGGACCUCGGUUCUAUUUUAUUGGUUUUCGGAACCCGAGGUAAUGACUAAUAGAAACAGGCGGGGGCAUUCGUACUGCGACGCUAGAGGUGAAAUUCUUGGACCGUCGCAAGACGAACUACUGCGAAAGCAUUUGCCAAGGAUGUUUUCAUUAAUCAAGAACGAAAGUUAGAGGUUCGAAGGCGAUCAGAUACCGCCCUAGUUCUAACCAUAAACGAUGCUGACUAGCGAUCCGCCGGCGUUAUUCCCAUGACCCGGCGGGCAGCUUCCGGGAAACCAAAGUCUUUGAGUUCCGGGGGAAGUAUGGUUGCAAAGCUGAAACUUAAAGGAAUUGACGGAAGGGCACCACCAGGAGUGGAGCCUGCGGCUUAAUUUGACUCAACACGGGGAAACUCACCAGGCCCGGACACC